CUUUAGUUUCUAUAAACUAUGAAGCAGUGCAAAUGCAAGAUAAUUUCCGCCUCAUUGAGUGCUGUCAUUGUAUCCAUUUUGCUGUGCGAUUGGUUUCUCAGUAAGCGUAAUUAUUACAAACAAAAAUAUAUUUUUUACAAACAAAAAAUGCAUUUUGUACUUAUAUUUUCUUAAUAUAUUUUUAAUUUUAUUUAAUUUCACAAAGAAGCUUCAGCGAUUUCCGACAGCACACCCCUAAAGCAGCAUUGCCUUAGACCACAGAACGAUGGCGCAAACUGUCACAUGCCGCGCUGGUAUUUUAAUACAUUAACGGAAAAUUGCGAACGGAAUUUGACUUGCAACGUGGAUUCCUUCGAAACAUAUCUCAAGUGCAUGCAAAACUGUGCACUGUGAUCGCAAAGAGGCAUAAAUAAAUUUGAAGCAUCUACGAUGUGUUAUUCGGGAAUAGCAUUAAGGAAAAUCUUUUGCUGGGAGAAUUUUGAAUGAUUUUAUUCCAAAUCCCAAAUGGGAGCAAGGUGCAAUCAAUAGUAAAGAAUUCUUCGCAUAUUUUCUGAUGCAUUAUCCAUCAAAUCAAGGCCAUGAAGGCCAUGAACAUUUUUCGCCUCGGUUUGAUACGUUAGAAAAACCUACGAAAAAAAAAAACAAAAAGUUGUGAAACGAACGAAAUAACCUUUGCCGCAACGCGACGGGUGGGCGUGUCUGUUAUAUGUACAUAUACUGAUGCGGGUGCGGAUGCGGAUGUGUGUGUGUGUGAGGGAAAAGUUAUUGUUGGUAAUAUCAACACUAAAAGUGUUUAUGAUAUGAAAAAUGUUGACAGCAACUGCAGAAUAGAAAUGCUCAGACUGAGCCCCACAGACAGAGAAGGAGAGAACAGUCUAGGGGUUAUAUAGAACCGUUAUUCACUCAUGUGUGUGUUUAUCUGUUUGUGUGUGUGUGCUGUAUAUACGUAUGUAGUUUUUAUCGCUGUUGCUGACUUUGAUGAAAAAUAUGAUAAUGUCCUUUAUGCGAAUGCGUUGCAGUAAAAAUAAUGAUAACACACAGAGAUACUCGUACAUUCCCGCCUCGCGGUGUCAUUCACCCGAACCCUUCCCAAUAAAUGCUUUUGACUCCAUCCUUUUCCUUUUCGUUGUUUUUGUUGUCUUUUUUUUUGGCAACAUUUUUCAUGACUUUUCUGAGCUUCCGCUGAUUUUAUUGGCUGCUCGUCUCUGGCUUGCCUGCAGGGUUCAACAUUUAUAUAUUCUCUCAAGAAUUCCUUGUCCUCUCCCAUUCCCACUCUG
Molecule: long non-coding RNA, 1277 nt
Filed under: Drosophila guanche
Lineage: Eukaryota; Metazoa; Arthropoda; Insecta; Diptera; Drosophilidae
Source: RNAcentral